This 253-nucleotide ribosomal RNA is filed under the name uncultured bacterium. RNAcentral describes it as "partial 16S ribosomal RNA". It matches the Rfam family "Bacterial small subunit ribosomal RNA", at positions 524 to 776 of the family's 1533-position model. The record is from RNAcentral.
GACAGAGGCCCCAAGCGUUAGGCGGAAUCACUGGGCUUAAAGCGUGUGUAGGCGGAUCGUUAAGUACCUUGUGAAAUCCCACGGCUCAACCGUGGAACGGCUGGGUAUACUGGCGGUCUUGGGCCAUUCAGGGGCGACUGGAACAAGCGGUGGAGCGGUGAAAUGCGUAGAUAUCGCUUGGAACGCCGAAGGUGAAAACAGGUCGCUGGGGAUGUGCCGACGCUGAGACACGAAAGCCAGGGGAGCAAACGGG